CGCGCCUCUCCGCCCCCGGCCGCGCCAGCGCCGCGCAGGUGGAGCCGAAGCCUCAGCGGCCACCUCCGGACCCGCGGGACGCCACCCGGGAGGGAUCAGGCGAGCUCGGGAGGAAGCCAGUCGCCCAGGAGGGGUCAGCCAAGCUCGAGAGGAGGCCCGCACGGUGGCCAGAGGCUGGUGGUUAUUUGCCAAGACCACCAUGGUGACCAUGCCUCCAGGCCCGCUACCACUGACUUCGAGGCAAGUUUAAUUUGUCUCUAAAUGCUCAUGACUUCAAACAGCACUGCAGUGCUAGCUGCCAUGAGUCCCCGACCCAAAGGUGAAGAUGUGCGUUGGAGGCUUGGAGCAUCUGGAGCUCACCAUUCUGCAGGUGAGGAGGGAUCUCACUGUAGACUCGCCCACCAUGGAGACCCUGAUGUCUACAACACCCACUGAACAGCACAUUCCCUUCUCCGAUCAUCUAUGAUGUCACUUGUCUACACCAGUGUACGUGUGGCUCUAUUUCUGGACUCUUUCUCAUUCACCUUUUUCUGACUCAUCCCACCCUGCUUAGGUAGUAAAGCUUCCUAGUAGUUAAUGUCUGGUAGACCAGAAAGUCCAUCCUGGCUUCUCUUCAGAACUGUCUGGGCUAUUCCUGGGCUUUUGCUCUACACAGAUUUCUAACCUUUCAGAUCCCGAUAAAAGGACUGUUGAGGGGCUGGAGAGAGGACUCAGCAGUUAAGAGCACUGACUACUCUUGCAGAGGACCCGGGUUUGAUUCCCAGCACCCACACGGUGGCUACAAAUGGUCCUUAACUCUAGUUCCAGGAGAAUCCGAAGC
RNAcentral lists this long non-coding RNA (820 nucleotides) under Nannospalax galili (Upper Galilee mountains blind mole rat). Its description in RNAcentral is "lncRNA (ENSNGAG00000024568.1)". The record is from RNAcentral. Lineage: Eukaryota; Metazoa; Chordata; Mammalia; Rodentia; Spalacidae.